UACGGGGGGAGCAAGCGUUGUUCGGAUUUACUGGGCGUAAAGGGCGCGUAGGCGGCGCAACAAGUCACUUGUGAAAUCUCCGGGCUUAACCCGGAGCGGGCAAGUGAUACUGUCGUGCUAGAGUGCGGAAGGGGCUACUGGAAUUCUCGGUGUAGCGGUGAAAUGCGUAGAUAUCGAGAGGAACACCUGCGGCGAAGGCGGGUUGCUGGGCUGACACUGACGCUGAGGCGCGAAAGCUAGGGGAGCAAACGGG
RNAcentral lists this ribosomal RNA (253 nucleotides) under uncultured bacterium. RNAcentral describes it as "partial 16S ribosomal RNA". It matches the Rfam family "Bacterial small subunit ribosomal RNA", at positions 524 to 776 of the family's 1533-position model. The record is from RNAcentral.